Molecule: ribosomal RNA, 303 nt
Filed under: uncultured bacterium
Lineage: Bacteria
Description: partial 16S ribosomal RNA
Rfam family: Bacterial small subunit ribosomal RNA
Source: RNAcentral
AGCAGUCGCCCGGGAAUACAGAGGGUGCGAGCGUUAAUCGGAUUUACUGGGCGUAAAGCGUGCGUAGGCGGCUUUUUAAGUCGGAUGUGAAAUCCCUGAGCUUAACUUAGGAAUUGCAUUCGAUACUGGGAAGCUAGAGUAUGGGAGAGGAUGGUAGAAUUCCAGGUGUAGCGGUGAAAUGCGUAGAGAUCUGGAGGAAUACCGAUGGCGAAGGCAGCCAUCUGGCCUAAUACUGACGCUGAGGUACGAAAGCAUGGGGAGCAAACAGGAUUAGAUACCCGAGUAGUCCCUGUCUCUUAUACA